Molecule: non-coding RNA, 26 nt
Filed under: Mus musculus (house mouse)
Lineage: Eukaryota; Metazoa; Chordata; Mammalia; Rodentia; Muridae
Source: RNAcentral
UGCAAGAAUGAGGCUCCUGAUCCAGU